UAAGUUGGACGUGAAAGCUCCUGGCUCAACUAGGAGAGGUCGUUCAAAACUGCCUGGCUAGAGGGCGACAGAGGGAGGUGGAAUUCCCGGUGUAGUGGUGAAAUGCGUAGAUAUCGGGAGGAACACCAGUGGCGAAGGCGGCCUCCUGGGUCGCUCCUGACGCUCAGACGCGAAAGCUAGGGGAGCAAACGGGAUUAGAUACCCCGGUAGUCCUAGCUGUAAACGAUGUGGACUUGGCGUUGGUGGGGUCAAAUCCAUCAGUGCCGGAGCUAACGCGAUAAGUCCACCGCCUGGGGACUACGACCGCAAGGUUAAAACUCAAAGGAAUU
This 329-nucleotide ribosomal RNA is filed under the name uncultured organism. RNAcentral's name for it is "bacterial SSU rRNA". It matches the Rfam family "Bacterial small subunit ribosomal RNA", at positions 584 to 911 of the family's 1533-position model. The record is from RNAcentral.